UCUAAUGNGGCAGACUAGUGCAAUGA
This 26-nucleotide transfer RNA is filed under the name Zabrus seidlitzi gredosanus. RNAcentral's name for it is "partial tRNA-Leu". Lineage: Eukaryota; Metazoa; Arthropoda; Insecta; Coleoptera; Carabidae. The record is from RNAcentral.